AGCGAACGCUGGCGGCAGGCCUAACACAUGCAAGUCGAACGAACUCUUCGGAGUUAGUGGCGGACGGGUGAGUAACACGUGGGAACGUGCCUUUUGGUUCGGAAUAACUCAGGGAAACUUGUGCUAAUACCGAAUGUGCCCUUCGGGGGAAAGAUUUAUCGCCAUAGAGCGGCCCGCGUCUGAUUAGCUAGUUGGUGAGGUAACGGCUCACCAAGGCGACGAUCAGUAGCUGGUCUGAGAGGAUGACCAGCCACACUGGGACUGAGACACGGCCCAGACUCCUACGGGAGGCAGCAGUGGGGAAUCUUGCGCAAUGGGCGAAAGCCUGACGCAGCCAUGCCGCGUGAAUGAUGAAGGUCUUAGGAUUGUAAAAUUCUUUCACCGGGGACGAUAAUGACGGUACCCGGAGAAGAAGCCCCGGCUAACUUCGUG
RNAcentral lists this ribosomal RNA (432 nucleotides) under uncultured bacterium. RNAcentral's name for it is "partial 16S ribosomal RNA". It matches the Rfam family "Bacterial small subunit ribosomal RNA", at positions 29 to 507 of the family's 1533-position model. The record is from RNAcentral.